UCUGGGUCACAGAUUCAUGGAGAUAGAAAUGCAUUAUGUUUCUCAAAAUAUUUUUUGAGAAGAAAAAACAACUUAAAAUGACUGAGAUCCAGA
Molecule: small nucleolar RNA, 93 nt
Filed under: Sorghum bicolor (sorghum)
Lineage: Eukaryota; Viridiplantae; Streptophyta; Magnoliopsida; Poales; Poaceae
Description: Small nucleolar RNA snoR27
Rfam family: Small nucleolar RNA snoR27
Source: Rfam by way of RNAcentral